This 583-nucleotide ribosomal RNA is filed under the name uncultured bacterium. Its description in RNAcentral is "bacterial SSU rRNA". It matches the Rfam family "Bacterial small subunit ribosomal RNA", at positions 338 to 916 of the family's 1533-position model. The record is from RNAcentral.
CCUACGGGAGGCAGCAGUAAGGAAUAUUGGUCAAUGGGCGCAAGCCUGAACCAGCCAUGCCGCGUGCAGGAUGACGGCCCUCUGGGUUGUAAACUGCUUUUAUACGGGAAGAACAGCAUCUACGUGUAGGUGUUUGACGGUACUGUAAGAAUAAGGACCGGCUAACUUCGUGCCAGCAGCCGCGGUAAUACGAAGGGUCCAAGCGUUAUCCGGAUUUAUUGGGUUUAAAGGGUGCGUAGGCGGCUUUUUAAGUCAGUGGUGAAAGCCUGAUGCUCAACAUCAGAACUGCCAUUGAUACUGAAGAGCUUGAGUACAGUUGAGGUUGGCGGAAUGUGUCAUGUAGCGGUGAAAUGCUUAGAUAUGACACAGAACACCGAUUGCGAAGGCAGCUAGCUAAAGCUGUUACUGACGCUGAUGCACGAAAGCGUGGGGAGCAAACAGGAUUAGAUACCCUGGUAGUCCACGCCCUAAAACGUUGAUAAACUCGUUGUUAGCGAUAUACUGUUAGCGACCAAGCGAAAGCAUUAAGUUAUCCACCUGGAAGUACGGUCGCAAGAUUGAAAACUCAAAAUGAAAUUGACGG